GACGAACGCUAGCGGUAUGCUUAACACAUGCAAGUCGAACGGCAACGCCCUGCUUUUGUGCUGUGCUUGAGUGGCAACCGGGUGCGUAACACGAGAGUAUACUGACCUUGCCUUUGGGAUAACUUCAGGCAGCUGGGGCUCAUACUGGAUCGGCGCUCCCGCUGGAUGGUGGGGCUUGGCCCGUUUCGGCGGUUGGGGAUGGACUCGCGGCUUAUCUGCUUGUUGGUGGGGUAGUGGCUUACCACGGCAUUGACGGGUGGCCGGCCUGAGAGGGGGACCGGGCACAUGGGGACUGAGAUACGGCCCAGACUCCUACGGGAGGCAGCAGAGGGGGAUAGUGCACAAUGGGCGGAAGCCGGAUGCAGCAACGCCGCGUUCGGGAUGACGGCCUUCUGGUAGUAGACCGCAUCCGCCUGUGACGAAGCGUGAGUGACGGUAAUGGAUAAAGAAGCACCGGCUAACUACGUG
Molecule: ribosomal RNA, 468 nt
Filed under: uncultured bacterium
Lineage: Bacteria
Description: partial 16S ribosomal RNA
Rfam family: Bacterial small subunit ribosomal RNA
Source: RNAcentral